Molecule: long non-coding RNA, 3702 nt
Organism: Oreochromis niloticus (Nile tilapia)
Lineage: Eukaryota; Metazoa; Chordata; Actinopteri; Cichliformes; Cichlidae
Source: Ensembl
AUGCGCAUGAUCUCGAUCCAUAUCACUACUGUAUAUAGGAUGAGCUCAACUUGUACCAAGCAGCUAGAAAGGGGGGGGCAUGUUAUUCCUUAUUUUUUGCAUUUGCAGUCCGAGAGCCUGAGCAGUGAAAGGAAGUACUUGCUCAAUCGUGUGUCCAACCUGAGCUCAGAGCUGGAAGACGCCCACAGGACCAUUGCAGCCCUGGAGAACAUUAAUGUGCCAUGCUUGAUAAAGGAACUACUGAAGAAGCAUUUUGAUUCAGCUGAGGCUGUACAGAAGUUUCUCACAACCACUGCUGCAAACAGCCAUUCUGCCACCUCUCAGCAAACAGAUGGCCAGCCCCACCCUCCUAAAGCAGACAAAGCAGCACACGAUUGGCUGACAAAACCAGAGGCAGGUCCACAGAGGGUCACAGCUUUCACACCCUUUAAACAGAGUGUACCAGCAACAGGAAAUGAAUGCGGCCUCUCGGGUCAGCAUGAGCUGAGCCACAGCCCGCCUUUCUCUGUGGCUGAGAUCAGCACCGCUAUCUAUAAGAAAAUGGCUGCCAGUUAUGCUGCCAGGCCACAGCCUAUCUACCCCCAAAGCCAACAGCAGUCCUCUUUGGCCACUAAUCAUGCUGACACCCUUCCAGACCUCAGGCAGGGCCAUGUAGCUAGUGAUAACUGGGCCGGGAAGGGAGAGUUAAAGGUAACUCUUUUGGAGCAGGACACUGAUGAUGUGAACUCUGUGUCAGCCCAGCAGAUUCUGGAUGAUUUCAUGCAGCACCUACAGUUACACAAGGAGGCUGGUGAGAGGAAGGAGCAACAGAGUGGGCAGAAUUGUAGGGCAGAAGUAACAGAGUGAAAAUGCCACAGGCACAGUGAAUGUUCAUCUUAAUGCUUCGAAAUGUGCAUUUAUUCAUCUGUCUCAUGGAUAUCUGUCAGAUGGAAAUACUGUAUUUUGAAAAUGCUGUGGUUACGAAAACUUGAACAUUAUGUUAUUUUAGGCUAUCUGUGGGUGACAAAGGAAGGCUUUGCAUAAUAGUCAGAAGAUUUUCAUGCACAAAAAGAAAGAAAGAGCCACAGCUACGUCAAAAGAGUGAGAAAAAUGGCAAUAAAAUAACAAAGUAACCAAUUAUUUUAUUAAAAAUAUGCUUAUGCAUAAGUUCCUGUAGUAUUAAUUCACUGUCUAUUUUUUUUUACCUUUUAGUUUUCUUCCAAAUUGAUAGUGAAGGCAAAGUCACAGUGGAUAUCACAUAAUAUGGCAUCUCUAUCUAAAUCCAUCCAUUCACCCAUCUUCAUCCAAGUUAAGGUCAUGGGGGUAGCUGGAGCCUUUCCUAGCAGAUAGGUCACCAGUCGGUUGCAGCGCUGACACAGAGAGACAACUAGGGCCAGUUUAGAAUCACCAGUUCACCUAACCCCACUAAUUGCACAUAGAACCUUCUCGCUAACCAGCUCAUCACCAUGCUGCCCACUUCAUACAGACUACAGAAGUAUUUAAUUGUCUCUGAUAAUAGAUCAUUGACACUGAUGGGAUCAAAUGCGAUCACUUUUAACAAAUUAAAAAAACAGUGAAAGACAGGGAAUUUAAAAGCAGGAUACCUCAAGGCCUUCUGCUAAGUGAACAAUGAAUAUUCAGUGAACGACUUUGAGUGACAUCGAGAAAACAACAUGAGAAAGGAAGCUAAUUCCCCUUUGGAACCCAUUUAAGUCUUGAGUCAGGGCAUCUCUUUCUUAAAGCAGCAGGUUACUGUACCAUCAGUAUCACUAGAGACUGUUUUAAUCUACAUUUAUUCAUAAUAAUUCAGCCAGACUCAGUUGUUCGUGUUUCUGCUAUAUAUUUGUGUAAAAUAACGCUUCAGGGACUGCUUUGGAUGUUUCAAACAGUCUAAAUAGCCCCCAUGUGAAAACCUCUUAAAAUUAAUAAGUGUACAAUGAAAAAUACUAUUUUGAGUUUACUGUGCAUUGAUUGGUUUGUGUAAAUAUCCAGAGAUUCAGUGUAAAUGUCUUUAAUUCAUAAAAAGAAAGUCAAAUAUUAUGAUUCAAAAAUGUUUUCUUUGUAUUAUUGCAGGGUCUUUACCUUACAAUGUAAAGUGCCUUGAGGCAACUGUUGUUGUGCUUUGGCACUAUAUGAAUAAAAUUGGAUUGAAUUGAAUUGUUGACAGGAGAAAAUCUUUUCAAGCUGAUGUAAAUGACAAAUGUAUACAGUUAGAAUACAAAGGCGUGUACAGCUAUUGUGAUGGUGUUGAUAAGCUUAACAGAACGUGUACACCUGGAAUCUAUGUGUUCCUUUAAUUCUGUGCUUAGCAUUCUUCUGGUAUUAAUGUUGUUUUAAUCUAAAUCUCUCUCUACAUUUUGUCAUUAAAAAUACUUCUUUGUGUCUUUGCAGCUAUUCUACCAAUAAAGAUAGUUUUGUUGAUGCAGUAUAUCAGAUUACAAACAUUUGUUCAUUAUUGAUGAUUUCUUCUUCAGUUUCUUGUUGCCAAAUUCAAAUAAUAUAUAGCAUGUUUUUUUUUUUAUAUGCAAACAAAACAAACAAACAAACAAAAAAACCCAAUUGGAAGGUUGUGUUUUAAUCCCCGGCUCCUCCAGCCUGCAUGUAAGUGACCGUGGGCAAGAUAAUGAACUCCGUGUUGCAUUCAUUGAAAUUGAAAUUGAUGACCAUCUUGAGUUUGAGGAACAGAAAUGCAUCUGAAUGUGUGUGCUUCAAUGGGUGAAUGAGGCUUGUAAUAAAAAGUACUUUGAGUGCUCAGUUAGAGAAGCCUUCAGUUAAUCCAAAAUGCUGCAGCAAGAGUACUGACAGGGACUAGAAAUAGAUAGCAUAUUUCUCCUAUACUGGUUUCUUUUCAUUGGCUCCCUGUUAAAUUCAGAAUUGAAUUCAAAAUCCUGCUCCUCACAUACAAAGUCUUGAAUAAUCAGACCUCAUCAUAUUCUAAUGACCUUGUAGUACCAUAUCACCCUAUUAGAGCACUUCGCUCUCGCACUGCAGGCUUACUUGUUGUUCCUAGAGUAUUUAAAAGUAGAAUGGGAGGCAGAGCCUUCAGCUUUCAGGCUCCUCUUCUAUGAAACCAGCUUCCAGUUUGGAUUCAGGAGAUGGAUACCGUCUCUACUUUUAAGAUUAAGCUUAAAACUUUCCUCUUUGCUAAAGCAUAUAGUUAGGGCUGGAUCAGGCAACCCUGAAUCCUCCCUUAGUUAUGCUGCAAUAGGUGUAGGCUGCUGGUAGCUUCCCAUGAUGCUUUAGUAUUUCUUCUUCAUGUGUUAAUAGACCUCUCUGCAUUGAAUUAUACAUUUAUUUUUAAUCUGUGCCUCUCUUUCACAGAAUGUCUUUUGUCCUGUCUUCCUUCUCUCUCCCCAAACGGUCGCAGCAGAUGUCCGUCCCUCCCUGAGCCUGGUUCUGCUGGAGCUUUCUUCCCACUGUCGCCAAAGUGCUUACUCAUAGGGGGUCAUAUGAUUUUGGGGGUUUUUCUCUGUAUGUAUUAUUUUAGGGUCUCCCUUACAAUGUAAAGCACCUUGAGGCAACUGCUGUUGUGAUUUGGUGCUGUAUAAAUCGAAUUGAAUCGAAUUGAAUCAAAUCGAAUCGAAUUGAAAAAAAGUGCUACAUGUACGCUGCUGACAUAUCUGAGAUACAUUAAAAUCUCUGUUGUUAGAAAGCUAAACAGGUUUGCUUGUAAGUUUUAAAUGGCUUUCAAUCUGUCUCACUAUUCGAAAAUAUAGCUGCAAG